UACGUAGAUGGCAAGCGUUAUUCGGAUUUACUGGGCGUAAAGGGUCCGCAGGGGGUCUGUCAAGUCGGAUGUGAAAAACCAGGGCUCAACCCUGGCCGUGCAUCCGAAACUGCCGGACUGGAGUGGGCGAGGGGCUGGCGGAAUUCCUGGUGUAGCGGUGGAAUGCGUAGAUAUCAGGAGGAACACCGAUGGCGAAGGCGGCCAGCUGGCGCCCCACUGACCCUCAUGGACGAAAGCGCGGGUAGCAAACAGG
Molecule: ribosomal RNA, 253 nt
Filed under: uncultured bacterium
Lineage: Bacteria
Description: partial 16S ribosomal RNA
Rfam family: Bacterial small subunit ribosomal RNA
Source: RNAcentral